This 76-nucleotide transfer RNA is filed under the name bacterium. Its description in RNAcentral is "tRNA-Met". It matches the Rfam family "tRNA". Rfam says of the family: Transfer RNA (tRNA) molecules are approximately 80 nucleotides in length. Their secondary structure includes four short double-helical elements and three loops (D, anti-codon, and T loops). Further hydrogen bonds mediate the characteristic L-shaped molecular structure. tRNAs have two regions of fundamental functional importance: the anti-codon, which is responsible for specific mRNA codon recognition, and the 3' end, to which the tRNAs corresponding amino acid is attached (by aminoacyl-tRNA synthetases). tRNAs cope with the degeneracy of the genetic code in two manners: having more than one tRNA (with a specific anti-codon) for a particular amino acid; and 'wobble' base-pairing, i.e. permitting non-standard base-pairing at the 3rd anti-codon position. The record is from RNAcentral.
AGCGGGGUAGAGCAGUAGUUAGCUCGCCUGGCUCAUAACCAGGAGGCCGUUGGUGCAAAUCCAACCCCCGCGACCA